RNAcentral lists this long non-coding RNA (230 nucleotides) under Zostera marina. RNAcentral describes it as "long non-coding RNA (ZMAR_LNC003601)". Lineage: Eukaryota; Viridiplantae; Streptophyta; Magnoliopsida; Alismatales; Zosteraceae. The record is from RNAcentral.
CCAAAUCGAGUUUUCCACCUAUGUUUAUGGUUGGAAGGAAGUCAUAUUAAAUUGUUGGCCACUUUCGAACCACCAACUGGAAAUCUGGUCGAUCGGCCUGAAAGUAGUUGAUCCAUCUUUUUUCCCCUUAUACGAUCUGAUAGUUGGUAGAAUUUCAGUGUAUUCAACCGUGUGAAAAUACGUGGAGGUGUUGGCUUUUUUAUAAUGUUAAGAGCAACUUAACAACUCCC